This 3665-nucleotide long non-coding RNA is filed under the name Lactuca sativa (garden lettuce). Its description in RNAcentral is "long non-coding RNA (LSAT_LNC001431)". The record is from RNAcentral. Lineage: Eukaryota; Viridiplantae; Streptophyta; Magnoliopsida; Asterales; Asteraceae.
AUCACAGAGAUACAUAACAUACAUAUAUCCAUUGGGCCCCGCCCGUCAUCGGGCCUUGACCCUGAAAAACAUAUAAACACAACAAUUCCAAGAGUCACAAAGACAACUAGCAUACUAACAACAUAAUGUAAACAUGGGUCGGGCUUGGUGCCUUCGAUCUACUAAACCCGGUAAGGAAACUCACCUCGAAUGCUGAAAUAUAACUAGAUAAAUCCCCGUCCUCGGAAACAACUCUACUCAGCCCCUAAACAUAAACACUUCCUUAGAUACCGAUCCAUACUUCAAAAACUAUAAAAGGUCAAACUAUCGCUAGAAGGAAAGAGAGGAUGGUAAGUCCUCUGAAUUGAAUCAAGAGAUAUGACAGAUAUGAAAAUCUAUUAAGCGAUAAAGCAGGAAGGAAAUAUUCAAAGCAGAUAAACUAUCGCUAGAAGGAAUGAUUGAGGAGCAACGUUCGAAUGAGGAAUUCUACAACGAAGCUGGCUCUAGAAAUACUCCUAUAGUAUUUCAUGAUUCGCUGCGACGAUGGCUCGUUGUUUUGGGUAUUGGGUAAGUUUUAGGCAUGCUGAACACCACACUCACUCCCAAGCACAUGUUGGCCGUGUCUCGAAUGAAUAUAGUUGAUCAGGCUAUAUUGACCCUAGACACGACUACAUAACAGCCCAGGUUUAACCGUAGCGUGCAACACCCACUUACUUAUGUUUUUGUUCUACUCGUAGUUACGGAUUUCGACGGCUAGGUAUAUUUAUAUAUAUUUUUUUUGAAAAUACUUAUAUUUUGAAGUAUACUUUUAGUUCAGAGCACUUAGGUCCCUUAGUGUUUAUAGUCUUAUACCAUGUAAGGUUUGGUAUACUUGGUUCACUAUAAACAAGGGUUCUGAUACCAAUUUGUCACACCCCGAAACCUAGGGCGGAAACGUUCCGGGUCGUAGAUGACUUCAUGUUAAGUAUCAUAACCAAUGUACAUAGCAAGCGAAGUAAACAACCAUUACAUUACAUAAUAGAAUUUACAUUUGUUUAAAAGUAAAGACGUGUCUUCUAUGAACUCCAUCUUCGCCAAAAGGAUUGCUGAGUACCUGUCUAAUGCGGACCUGAGAAUACAAGCAGUUUGAAAAUCAGCAUAAAGCUGGUGAGUUCAUAAGUGUUUUGUUUUUCUGAAAAUGAACAUGUUUCCUUUAGUUUUCUGAAAAAGUUGUAUCCAAGAAAAUCCCAUAUUUUCUUAUUAAGACAGUUUAAUACGUAUAACUUUAGACUGAAAACCAUGGGAAUACCAUCCCGUAUCACAGUAGGUAGUUUUAAUACACAAAAUUAUAGAUUGAAAACCAUGGGAAUACCAUCCCGUACUAGAUAUAAGAUCUAUAGAUUGAAAACCAUGGGAGUACCUUCCCGUAAUAGAUCAAAGAUAUAUAUAAUAUCCGUGAAUAAACUAUGUUUUAAUACGUAUUGUGAGUCGGGUAACCAUGUUGAUAUGACAACGAGACCUCCUUGACGUUUUUCAGGCGUCGGACGAUAUCCGGAAUUUGUCACCCCAGGCGUGCCCGCCUAACUGUAGCUAGCAGUUAAGGUGUGGGAUUGUCAGUCCCGAAUAGAUCUAUUCACAAAUUCCACGCUCUCCCUCCAGGAGACUCUGGUUACACUUCCGGGGAGGAUUUAUUAAUGACCCGAAGGGUUUAAUGAAGAUAGUCUCACAAGCUAGUAUUAAAUUAUUCACGGUGUUCUCAAUCGUCAACAAACAUAAUAAUUGUUUCGAAACAUAAUAGAGUAUAAAUAGUAGAAUACAAAGAAACUAUUUGGCAUAAUACUUUACAUUAAACAGAGAUAAACUGAAUCAGACAUAGUUUAUCUAUUAACAUUGCAUGAAAUCCGAAUUCACAAAACGAGAGCUGAAGAUCCCAAAUUAUUCCCAUAAUAAUUUGAUUAGUUUGAUUGUUUCCUUUACUGAAAUCCAUGUGGUUAUAUUCGAUAAAACAUCCCUUAUGCUCCGCAUAAUACAUAAGGGGUAAAGAUAUCUAAAAGUUUGCCAGAUAUUUAUAGAAUUACAUCAAUUUUAAGUUUCGAAAACAUUUAUAGCUUGCUUGUAUUCCCCCCUGAAAACAUUGAAAAACACUGAAAAAAGGCGUAGGGGUAUGAACUCACCAGUCGAGGAACGUGUCGUCUAGGAUGCUAAGCGUCAAUUCGAGGCUUGAUUACACGCGAGGUUCCUAUGUAAUAUGAAAAGAUACACAUUUAUAUCUAAUUAGACCUUGAAUCACUAAUUAGAUGUGAUUAUACACUCCAAGACGCGAAAACACUUCAAAUCAAGUGUUUGGAGUGACCCGGGUGGCAUCUACGGACGUGUAGAGCAUAAAUAUGGAGUUUGCACUUCAAGAGUAAACCCAUUGGAGAGAUUACGGCCCUAAGACCAUGUCCCCAUGAGUUUAUGGUCAUAAACUCAUGGAUGGGGGUUCUAGGUUGCUAAAUGGCCUUAUAUCACUUGGGAAAAUUAGCUAGGAUCAAAUCUAAGGCAUAGAAAUGGAUUAAACAACCAAAGGGACCAUCAAAUGGAUUUUACGGCUGUGAACUAGGAGUUUACGGCUGUAAGCUCCUAAGUACCCUUUAUUUUCAUGAUUUGGUGGCCCUAGAUUAAUCAUAUGUGAUUCUAAGUCAUUUCACAAGCCAUAGAAUGAAUUUAGGGCAUCAUUUGACUAAGGUAUAUGAGUUUACGGCCCAGGAACUAUCCUUGGGGGGUUUACGGUUGUAAGCUCUUAUAGGAGUGGUUUUUAUCAAGUUUAAGGCCCCUAACUCGUUUGUGGUUGCUUCUAGACUUUAUUCCAAGGCUUAAGAGGUGUUUAAGUGACAUCUUAACACUUUAAAAUGAGUUUACUGCCCAUGAAUUGGUGUUUACGGUCCAAGCAUGUUCUUGGUCCGUAAACUCUCAUUUACCCCCUAAAUGAUGAGUUCAAGGUGUUCCAAGUCCAUUCGAUUAAGUCCUUAUGUCAUUUCUAAGCUCCAUGAGUGGUUUAAGAGGGUUUUUAGGCUCCAAAACCCAUUUUAUAUGUGUUCACGGCCCAUGAAUGUUCCAGGGCCGUAAACACAUGUUUAUGGUCCCAAUACAUAGUUUGAACACGGAUUUGAAGGUUGAAGAGGUUAUACAAUGAGUUAGGAUGAUUACCUUGAUGAUUUGGAGCUUGAAUUGGAUGAUUUUGGACCAAGAAUAAGAUUGUAGAUAGAGAGUAGUGAGAGAGGGUGCAAAAGCUUCAAAAUGAAGUCAAUUGAGCUUUAUAUAUGGUUCAAGUUUUGGACACGGUGGAAUUCUACCCGAUACUGACGUUAUACGAUGCUUUUGGUCGCACCCGAUAAAGUUGCCGUAACCCGAUAUGGUCGAAACUAAAAUUUUUCUAAUUGUUAAUUUGGAAUAUUUUCUUGAGUUAUUAUCGUGUUUGAACACCCAUUAAUUCAUAAUAAACGACUCAAAUUUAAUGAAUUAAUUUAAUAACGAAACGGAAACAAUUCGAAAACGACGAAUUUUAUUGACGGAACGGGUUACAAUGACGGGAAGAAUUUUAGGUUGUCACAGCAUACUAACAACAUAAUGUAAACAUGGGCCGGGCUUGGUGCCUUCGAUCCACUAAACCCGGUAAGGAAACUCACCUCGAAUGCUGAAAUAUAACUAGAUAAAUCCCCGUCCUC